RNAcentral lists this ribosomal RNA (253 nucleotides) under uncultured bacterium. Its description in RNAcentral is "partial 16S ribosomal RNA". It matches the Rfam family "Bacterial small subunit ribosomal RNA", at positions 524 to 776 of the family's 1533-position model. The record is from RNAcentral.
UACAGAGGGUGCGAGCGUUACUCGGAAUUACUGGGCGUAAAGCGCGCGUAGGCGGCUUUGCAAGUCGGGUGUGAAAUCCCCAGGCUUAACCUGGGAACUGCAUUCGAGACUGCAUUGCUAGAGUAUGGGAGAGGGAAGUGGAAUUUCCGGUGUAGCGGUGAAAUGCGCAGAUAUCGGGAGGAACACCUAUGGCGAAGGCAGCUCGCUGGGACGUUACUGACGCUGAGACGCGAAAGCGUGGGGAGCAAACAGG